Molecule: unclassified non-coding RNA, 294 nt
Filed under: air metagenome
Description: partial contains small subunit ribosomal RNA, internal transcribed spacer 1, and 5.8S ribosomal RNA
Rfam family: Eukaryotic small subunit ribosomal RNA (bases 1-46)
Source: RNAcentral
AAGUCGUAACAAGGUUUCCGUAGGUGAACCUGCGGAAGGAUCAUUAUUGAAUAACUUUGGCGUGGUUGUAGCUGGUCCUCUCGGGGGCAUGUGCUCGCCCGUCAUCUUUAUAUCUCCACCUGUGCACCUUUUGUAGACGUUGGAACUGGAUAGGAGGAGGGACUCGUCCUUCAAGUUGAAGGUUUUUUCGGCGCUCUACGUUUUCAUAUACCCCAAAGAAUGUAACAGAAUGUAUCUUAUGGCUUUAUGCCUAUAAACUAUAUACAACUUUCAGCAACGGAUCUCUUGGCUCUC